Molecule: transfer RNA, 74 nt
Filed under: Actinoplanes siamensis
Lineage: Bacteria; Bacillati; Actinomycetota; Actinomycetes; Micromonosporales; Micromonosporaceae
Description: tRNA-Phe
Rfam family: tRNA
About the family: Transfer RNA (tRNA) molecules are approximately 80 nucleotides in length.
Source: RNAcentral
GCCCACCGAGUUCGGAUGGCAGAACACCGGAGUGAAAACCCGGAGGCUCGCGGUUCGACCCCGCGGGUGGGCAC